RNAcentral lists this ribosomal RNA (3018 nucleotides) under Acinetobacter baumannii. RNAcentral's name for it is "bacterial LSU rRNA". It matches the Rfam family "Bacterial large subunit ribosomal RNA". Lineage: Bacteria; Pseudomonadati; Pseudomonadota; Gammaproteobacteria; Moraxellales; Moraxellaceae. The record is from RNAcentral.
AGGUUAAGCUACAAAGGGCGCACGGUGGAUGCCUUGGCGCUAGGAGCCGAUGAAGGACGUGGCGAACGACGAAAUGCUUCGGGGAGCUGUAAGCAAGCUUUGAUCCGGAGAUGUCCGAAUGGGGGAACCCACGAUUCGUAAUGGGAUCGUACUCUUGUCUGAAUCCAUAGGGCAAGGAGAGGCAUACCAGGGGAACUGAAACAUCUAAGUACCCUGAGGAAGAGAAAACAAUAGUGAUUCCGUCAGUAGCGGCGAGCGAACGCGGAGUAGCCCAAACCAGAAGGUUCGCCUUCUGGGGUUGUAGGGCGUCUCACAUGGAGUGAUAAAAGACAGUCAUAGACGAAGCGGUCUGGAAAGGCCCAUCAGAGAAGGUAACAAUCCUGUAGUUGAAAUGGCUGUCUCUCCGAGACGUACCCUGAGUAGGGCGGGACACGUGAAACCCCGUCUGAAUCCGGGAGGACCAUCUCCCAAGGCUAAAUACUCCCUAGCGACCGAUAGUGAACCAGUACCGUGAGGGAAAGGUGAAAAGCACCCCGGGAGGGGAGUGAAAGAGAACCUGAAACCGUGUGCCUACAACUAGUCGGAGCACGUUUACUGUGUGACGGCGUGCCUUUUGUAGAAUGAACCGGCGAGUUACGGUUGCGUGCAAGGUUAAGUCAGAUAAGACGGAGCCGCAGCGAAAGCGAGUCUGAAUAGGGCGAAUGAGUACGUAGCCGUAGACCCGAAACCGUGUGAUCUACCCAUGUCCAGGGUGAAGGUGCGGUAACACGCACUGGAGGCCCGAACCCACGCACGUUGAAAAGUGCGGGGAUGAGGUGUGGGUAGCGGAGAAAUUCCAAUCGAACUCGGAGAUAGCUGGUUCUCCCCGAAAUAGCUUUAGGGCUAGCCUCGGAUGCCUGUACUGGAGGUAGAGCACUGAUUGGAUGCGGGCCCCUCGCGGGGUACCAAAUUCAGUCAAACUCCGAAUGCCAGAUACAGACGGUCCGGGAGUCAGACUGCGAGUGCUAAGAUCCGUAGUCAAAAGGGAAACAGCCCAGAUCACCAGCUAAGGUCCCUAAAUGUACGCUAAGUGGGAAACGAUGUGGAGUUGCCCAGACAACCAGGAUGUUGGCUUAGAAGCAGCCACCAUUUAAAGAGUGCGUAAUAGCUCACUGGUCGAGUGACUCUGCGCGGAAAAUGUAACGGGGCUAAGCGUACUACCGAAGCUGUGGAUUGACACCGUUGGUGUCAGUGGUAGGGGAGCGUUCCUGCAGCAGUGAAGUCAGACCGGAAGGACUGGUGGAGCGGCAGGAAGUGAGAAUGCCGGUGUAAGUAGCGAAAAGAGAGGUGAGAAUCCUCUCCGCCGAAAGCCUAAGGGUUCCUGAGGAAGGCUCGUCCUCUCAGGGUUAGUCGGGACCUAAGCCGAGGCCGAAAGGCGUAGGCGAUGGACAACAGGUGGAAAUUCCUGUACUACCUCCACUCCGCCCAGCCCUUUAUAUAAUGAGGGGCCCCAUGAAAGUAAUUGAGUUGCUGCAAAGCAUUCCAUCACUUUCAUGGGCAUAGCGACGGGGGGACGCAGGAGGGUAGGGUGAGCAGACUGUUGGAUAUGUCUGUCCAAGCAGUGAGGCGUGUGUGUAGGCAAAUCCGCACACUGUAACGCCAGGCUGUGAUGGCGAGCGAAAUAUGAAGUAGCGAAGUCCCUGAUCUCACACUGCCAAGAAAAGCCUCUAGCGAGGAGUGAGGUACCCGUACCGCAAACCGACACAGGUAGGCGAGGAGAGAAUCCUAAGGCGCGCGAGAAAACUCUUGCUAAGGAACUCGGCAAAAUGACCCCGUAACUUCGGGAGAAGGGGUGCCCCGGUAGCGUGUCAAAGCGCGAGGGGGCCGCAGUGAAAAGGCCCAAGCGACUGUUUAGCAAAAACACAGGUCUCUGCGAAGCCGCAAGGCGAAGUAUAGGGGCUGACGCCUGCCCGGUGCUGGAAGGUUAAGGGGAAAGGUUAGCACCUUCGGUGCGAAGCUUUGAACCGAAGCCCCAGUAAACGGCGGCCGUAACUAUAACGGUCCUAAGGUAGCGAAAUUCCUUGUCGGGUAAGUUCCGACCCGCACGAAAGGCGUAACGACUUGGGCACUGUCUCGGCAAGAGACUCGGUGAAAUCAUACUACCUGUGAAGAUGCAGGUUACCCGCGACAAGACGGAAAGACCCCAUGGAGCUUUACUGUAGUUUGAUAUUGUAGAUUGGUGCAUGCUGUACAGGAUAGGAGGGAGACUGCGAAACUCGGGCGCCAGCCUGGGUGGAGUCGCCGUUGGGAUACCUCCCUGCGUGUACCGAUCUUCUAACCUCGUGCCGUGAUCCGGUACAGGGACAGUGUCAGAUGGGCAGUUUGACUGGGGCGGUCGCCUCCUAAAAGGUAACGGAGGCGCCCAAAGGUUCCCUCAGAAUGGUUGGAAAUCAUUCGCAGAGUGUAAAGGCACAAGGGAGCUUGACUGCGAGACCUACAAGUCGAGCAGGGACGAAAGUCGGGCUUAGUGAUCCGGUGGUUCCGCAUGGAAGGGCCAUCGCUCAACGGAUAAAAGCUACCCUGGGGAUAACAGGCUUAUCUCCCCCAAGAGUCCACAUCGACGGGGAGGUUUGGCACCUCGAUGUCGGCUCAUCGCAUCCUGGAGCUGAAGUAGGUUCCAAGGGUUGGGCUGUUCGCCCAUUAAAGCGGUACGCGAGCUGGGUUCAGAACGUCGUGAGACAGUUCGGUCCCUAUCUGUCGUGGGCGCAGGAAAUUUGAGAGGAGCUGUCCUUAGUACGAGAGGACCGGGAUGGACGCACCGCUGGUGCACCAGUUGUUCCGCCAGGAGCACAGCUGGGUAGCUAUGUGCGGCCGGGAUAAGCGCUGAAAGCAUCUAAGCGUGAAGCCCCCCUCAAGAUGAGAUUUCCCACAGCAUAAGCUGGUAAGACCCCUUAUAGAUGAUGAGGUAGAUAGGUUCGAGGUGGAAGCGUGGCAACACGCGGAGCUGACGAAUACUAAUCGGUCGAGGGCUUAACCAAG